RNAcentral lists this ribosomal RNA (350 nucleotides) under uncultured bacterium. RNAcentral describes it as "bacterial SSU rRNA". It matches the Rfam family "Bacterial small subunit ribosomal RNA", at positions 28 to 375 of the family's 1533-position model. The record is from RNAcentral.
GAUGAACGCUAGCGGCAGGCUUAACACAUGCAAGUCGUGGGGCAGCGCGAGGUAGCAAUACUUUGGCGGCGACCGGCAAACGGGUGCGGAACACGUACGCAACCUUCCUCAGAGCGGGGAAUAGCCUCUCGAAAGAGAGAUUAAUACCCCAUAGUAUCUCGAAACUGCAUGGUUUGAGAUUAAAGCUUCGGCACUUUGAGAUGGGCGUGCGGCUGAUUAGGUAGUUGGUAGGGUAACGGCCUACAAGCCAACGAUCAGUAGCUGAUGUGAGAGCAUGAUCAGCCACACGGGCACUGAGACACGGACCCCGAUCCUACGGGAGGCCAGCAGUGAGGAAUAUUGGCAAUGGA